Molecule: ribosomal RNA, 279 nt
Filed under: uncultured bacterium
Lineage: Bacteria
Description: partial 16S ribosomal RNA
Rfam family: Bacterial small subunit ribosomal RNA
Source: RNAcentral
UGCCAGCCGCCGCGGUAAUACGAACUGUGCAAACGUUAUUCGGAAUCACUGGGCUUAAAGAGUCCGUAGGCUGCUUGGUAGGUGGGGUGUGAAAUCCCACGGCUCAACCGUGGAAUAGCGCUCCAAACCACUAAGCUUGAGGGAGAUAGAGGAGAGCGGAACUGAUGGUGGAGCGGUGAAAUGCGUUGAUAUCAUCAGGAACACCGGUGGCGAAAGCGGCUCUCUGGGUCUUAACUGACGCUGAGGCACGAAAGCGUGGGGAGCGAACAGGAUUAGAUA